Molecule: ribosomal RNA, 491 nt
Filed under: uncultured bacterium
Lineage: Bacteria
Description: partial 16S ribosomal RNA
Rfam family: Bacterial small subunit ribosomal RNA
Source: RNAcentral
AGUGAACGCUGGCGGUAGGCCUAACACAUGCAAGUCGAACGGCAGCACAGUAAGAGCUUGCUCUUACGGGUGGCGAGUGGCGGACGGGUGAGGAAUACAUCGGAAUCUACUUUUUCGUGGGGGAUAACGUAGGGAAACUUACGCUAAUACCGCAUACGACCUACGGGUGAAAGCAGGGGAUCUUCGGACCUUGCGCGAUUGAAUGAGCCGAUGUCGGAUUAGCUAGUUGGCGGGGUAAAGGCCCACCAAGGCGACGAUCCGUAGCUGGUCUGAGAGGAUGAUCCGCCACACUGGAACUGAGACACGGUCCAGACUCCUACGGGGGCAGCAGUGGGGAAUAUUGGACAAUGGGCGCAAGCCUGAUCCAGCCAUACCGCGUGGGUGAAGAAGGCCUUCGGGUUGUAAAGCCCUUUUGUUGGGAAAGAAAAGCAGCAGGUUAAUACCCCGCUGUUCUGACGGUACCCAAAGAAUAAGCACCGGCUAACUUCGUG